AACGAACGCUGGCGGCAUGCCUAACACAUGCAAGUCGAACGAGACCUUCGGGUCUAGUGGCGCACGGGUGCGUAACGCGUGGGAACCUGCCCUUAGGUUCGGAAUAACUCCCCGAAAGGGGUGCUAAUACCGGAUAAUGUCUUCGGACCAAAGAUUUAUCGCCUUUGGAUGGGCCCGCGUUGGAUUAGCUAGUUGGUAGGGUAAAAGCCUACCAAGGCGACGAUCCAUAGCUGGUCUGAGAGGAUGAUCAGCCACACUGGGACUGAGACACGGCCCAGAUCCUGGAGGAGGGGCGCAGGGGGGAUUAUGGGAAAAUGGGUGAAUGCAGAACCCAUUAAGGCCGGGGAGGUAUUAAGGGCCUAAGGGUUGUAAGCCUUUUUACCCCGGGAUGUUAUGAACAUACCCGGAGAAUAAACCCCGGCUUAACUCCUG
Molecule: ribosomal RNA, 432 nt
Filed under: uncultured bacterium
Lineage: Bacteria
Description: partial 16S ribosomal RNA
Rfam family: Bacterial small subunit ribosomal RNA
Source: RNAcentral